Molecule: long non-coding RNA, 1653 nt
Organism: Epinephelus fuscoguttatus (brown-marbled grouper)
Lineage: Eukaryota; Metazoa; Chordata; Actinopteri; Perciformes; Serranidae
Exons: 3
Source: RefSeq, a predicted model, not a curated record
GUGAAGGCAGCUGCACUUUUCACAAGCAGCUUCUCUCCACCGACCACAGUGCAUGAUGGGAAACUCUCUGCUCUCCACUAAUCUAAUCAAGUUGAAUCCAAACUUUUCUUUAUGUUUCACUGUAAAGAUGAUUUGAUUAGACUUAUUGAAGGAUUAUUAUCUUCAUAAAUACAAAGUGACUAAAAGUCUCUCAGCUGAUUGAGUCUGUCACGAGUUGAGCUGAUGAAGUUACAAACAGAUACUUCCUCAUGUCAAACAUUUAGUGUUCAGGAGACACACAGGGGGACAGCUCUCGUCUUCAAACACCUCAGUGUGACUCCAUCCACAGCCAGUGUAACUCAGGACGUCUAGCAGGCAGAGGAACACAGUAACAUCACACUGACAUGGCGCUUCCCUGUCAAGACUGCCGUGUCUGUUGACUCACUAUACAUAGACAUUAUGUAUGGGGAGCCACUGAGGACAAUUUACCUUUAUGACACUGACUUUGAGGCUGCGCUGUAUCAAGAUGAGCUCUACAGGGGACGAGUUCAGUGUGAUCUAGAGCUCGCCAAGAAGGGACGGAUUGAAUGUGUCCUCACUGGUCUGAGGCUCAGCGACACAGGCAUCUAUACUUUUAUCAUUGGUGUUAACAGUGAUAGUCACACCAAGACAUGUGACCUCAGUGUUACAGCUGCCAGCCAUCAACCUGUAAAUGAGACAUCAAGACCAGCAGGCCGAGGAAGGAUCGGGCUCUAUGGAGGUAGUGGUUUAUUUACAGUCGUGACAACAGCACUUGUAGCCUGCAGUUUUGCACAAGUGGCUGAUGCAUCAGCUUUUCAAAUCAGAUCUUUACCCAGAUAAGAAAAGAAGUCUGAUGACUAUUUUAAUGAUUCAAAUACCUCGUGUGUUGAAAUGUUAAUAUUUAACAUCCUUUCUCUUGUUUCUUUUCAAGUUUUGUUUACUACCUCCAGAUUAUGCUCAUGUAAUGUCAGUGUUAAAGCCAUCCUUUCUUUUGUUUUAAAGUUUGGUUUACUACCUCCUAAUCCCAAGAUUAUGCUAAUGUAAUGUUAGCGUUAAAGCCAUCCUUUCUUGAAAUUUUUACAAUUUGGUCUGACUACCUCAAAUGACCAAAUGCUAUGUUACAGUAAUUCAGUAGUCUUUUACGAAUCACUACUCAUAUACCUCUCUCUGUCAUGAGGCUGCUGUUACUGUUAUGAAUGAACCGUUUACAUACAGUCUCUUUCAAAAUAAGCUGUGUUUGUUGGACCCAUCCACCACCCCUCCUGCCCGCCCCAGUUGGACUUUCGUGGCCUUCACUUUCAUCCUUGCCCCACCGUGUUUCCCCCUGAUGCCACUGGGCGCUAUUAAACUAUAACGGCAACUGUGUCAAGCCAACGUUAAAGGACGCCUUAUGUCAUUGGUUUCAGACGCCGUUAGUCACUGCCCAAGCGUCAGAUUUUGAGGAGUAUGGUCCUUAUUUUUAUUUCCUUGCUCUGCAGUUCAUAUUCAGCCUCUUAGAGUGUCCUUUAUAUUGUUGGUUUUAUGAUGUGUGUCUUGGCUGCUUUAAUGUUGCAUUUCCCAUUCAUGAACUUCAUCUGUCUAUCCAUCAUGUCAUUAUGCUGCCUGACACAGUACACACACGUGCACAGGAAGUACUUGUACAGCACAUUUUAU